Molecule: unclassified non-coding RNA, 432 nt
Filed under: synthetic construct
Source: RNAcentral
UCGUUACUUGUUUCUUGAUAGUAUUAUCUUCUGAUAUAUAUUCUGAUGAUGGCAGAAACCCACAUUUGGCCUUUAUCUCUACAGCUAUGCAGCUGCUACCCUUAGGAUUGCCAGAAAAUAAAGAGUGGUCUGCUAUCAGAAGAGCGGCAUCAGCAGUGUUAUCAAUUGAACUUGCAUUUACUCUCCCAGCAGGACGGCUGCUAAGAACAUUCUUUUCGACAAGCUCCAGAAAAUCCCUAGAAACACGUACACGGACCCCACCAUCGACAUGAUUGGCACCCAGGUGUUGGCUCAUAACAUGCACUGCAUAGGCUUGAGCCAAGCAAUCUUGUUUGACCGACUCAACCAGUUCUGGGAUAUGGCCCCACAGGAGUUGCUCAUGACUUGAGAAUACAAUACAACUUGGUGCCCGCUGCGACUUGUUUUUUAGAA